RNAcentral lists this long non-coding RNA (1173 nucleotides) under Orussus abietinus. Its description in RNAcentral is "uncharacterized LOC111673919, transcript variant X2". The record is from RNAcentral. Lineage: Eukaryota; Metazoa; Arthropoda; Insecta; Hymenoptera; Orussidae.
ACUCCAAGAUCCACGCCGACGACACUUGCCGUGACUCAUUUGCUUCCACUAAAUUCCCCCCACCUCUGUCUCUUACUAAUUACACGGCUUUUAAGUUACGACACUUGUUUUCAUAGUAAUUCAUCGAGUCUCCAGGCAUGUACGGGAAGGCACCCGCACAGAGCGCUUCUUUACCAACCGGAUCUUUCUCGAGAUCCCUCAUUGGCUCAGUAUUGAACGGGAUGCCGCCGGCGCCACAGCUGCUUCUUCGUAACUCCCGUCGCUCCCCUCUUCACACGUGCCGAGUGUCUUCGAACUUCACACCUAGAGGGACGGAAUUGGCCGCUCUAGUCGGCCUACAGCCUCUUCGGCGUAACUCCAAGGUCUUCGCUAUUUAUAUCCCGCAUUGAGAGAAACUUUGGACACCAGAAAACGAGGCUUUGGACAGCUGCGUACAAUUAAUAUAAUGACCUUAGUAAAAAUAACCCGCGGCUCUGCAUUCCGACUGAUAAUUAUUAUCGAAUGUACGUUUAAUCAUACUUCACGGAGAAAAAGAGCCUUAAGGUGAUAUGAAAGACUUGUUCUAUAUAUCGAAAUGUGAAAAUAUUUAUUCUACUCUUCUCCUAACUGAGCGGAAUAUUGCGAAGAAUGUGGAAUACUGACCACUAUACUACCGAGGAAAAUUAGAUAUAUGUGUUUCGUAGAUUUGCAUUUAGUGACAUUACCUCUUUAUUGGGAAAUAGAUAAGCGGACUAACGAUUAGAAUUUUUAAGGGAUUAAUUAUAAGCCGAAUUGUCGACGAAUUCGAGAAUUCAUAUAAAAAUCCAUAAUUGUUAUGGAGAAAUAUUGGGAAGAAUGUGGAAUACUGACCACUAUACUACCGAGGAAAAUUAGAUGUAUGUGUUUCAUAGAUUUGCAUUUAAUGACAUUACCUCUUUAUUGGGAAAUAGAUAAGCGGACUGACGAUUAGAGCCUGUAAACGAUUAAUUAUAACCCCAAAUUUCGAGGAAAACAUUGAAUAUCAAAUUUACAAUCGUUGUACUUGCAAAAGUCUACUGAUACACGACAUUAAGUGUUCAAUUGCAUAAAUCUGUUCCAGACAUGUCUUUGCACUACAUAUAGCAUUACUUGAUACUUUUCGAACAGAUAAGCAAACGAUGUGAUGAAUUGCAUAAUAAAGACGUCUCAAGGUCA